UACGGAGGGUGCAAGCGUUAAUCGGAAUUACUGGGCGUAAAGCGCGCGUAGGCGGUUAUCUAAGUCAGAUGUGAAAGCCCCCGGGCUCAACCUGGGAAUUGCAUUUGAUACUGGAUGGCUAGAGUGUGGUAGAGGUGAGUGGAAUUUCAGGUGUAGCGGUGAAAUGCGUAGAGAUCUGAAGGAACAUCAGUGGCGAAGGCGACUCACUGGGGCCAUUACUGACGCUGAGGUGCGAAAGCGUGGGUAGCAAACAGG
RNAcentral lists this ribosomal RNA (255 nucleotides) under uncultured bacterium. RNAcentral's name for it is "partial 16S ribosomal RNA". It matches the Rfam family "Bacterial small subunit ribosomal RNA", at positions 524 to 776 of the family's 1533-position model. The record is from RNAcentral.